GGGGAUAUAUUACAAUUGGUAGUAUACUUUGUUUGCAACAAAGCUGGUGCAGGUUCGAGUCCUGCUAUCUCCA
Molecule: transfer RNA, 73 nt
Filed under: bacterium
Lineage: Bacteria
Description: tRNA-Ala
Rfam family: tRNA
About the family: Transfer RNA (tRNA) molecules are approximately 80 nucleotides in length. Their secondary structure includes four short double-helical elements and three loops (D, anti-codon, and T loops).
Source: RNAcentral